GAAUAUUGGACAAUGGGCGAAAGCCUGAUCCAGCCAUGCCGCGUGUGUGAAGAAGGUCUUCGGAUUGUAAAGCACUUUAAGUUGGGAGGAAGGGUUGUAGAUUAAUACUCUGCAAUUUUGACGUUACCGACAGAAUACGCACCGGCUAACUCUGUGCCGGCAGCCGCGGUAAUACAGAGGGUGCCAGCGUUAGUCGGAAUUACUGGGCGUAAAGCGCGCGUAGGUGGUUUGUUAAGUUGGAUGUGAAAUCCCCGGGCUCAACCUGGGAACUGCAUCCAAAACUGGCAAGCUAGAGUAUGGUAGAGGGUGGUGGAAUUUCCUGUGUAGCGGUGAAAUGCGUAGAGAUCUGGAGGAAUACCGAUGGCGAAGGCAGCCAUCUGGCCUAAUACUGACACUGAGGUGCGAAAGCAUGGGGAGCAAACA
Molecule: ribosomal RNA, 423 nt
Filed under: uncultured bacterium
Lineage: Bacteria
Description: bacterial SSU rRNA
Rfam family: Bacterial small subunit ribosomal RNA
Source: RNAcentral